GACCUGGCGGCCCAGAUCCCAUGGUGUCACUGAAACAAAAGGAGAAUUCAUAUCCAUAGGGACACACUGAGUCCUGAACCUGGCAGGAUUCUGCAUUGGUCUUCAAAUGGGCACCAAGCUCUUCCUCUGUGUGGCCUGCUGUCUCCUCUGGGCAGGACACGUGGAAGCUGCAAUUACCCAGAGCCCAAGACAUACUAUCACAAAGACAGGAGAAAAGGUGACUUUGAGCUGCCAUCAGACUUCCAACCAUGACUAUAUGUACUGGUAUCGACAAGACCCAGGGCACGGGCUGCGGCUGAUCUAUUACUCACAUUACGUUACAAACACUCAAAAAGGAGAAGCGUCUGCAGGGUACAGUGUCUCCAGAUCAGACACAGAGGAGUUUCCCCUCACUCUGGAGUCGGCCACCGGCUCCCAGACAUCUGUGUACUUCUGUGCCAGCAGUGACUCCACAGUGCUGCAGGGCCACCUCGCCUCUGCACAGAAAGUGUAAACAGGAAGACGGCUGCUGCCUGUGCUCGGGAGCCCUGG
Molecule: non-coding RNA, 531 nt
Organism: Sciurus carolinensis (gray squirrel)
Lineage: Eukaryota; Metazoa; Chordata; Mammalia; Rodentia; Sciuridae
Source: the annotation of a RefSeq genome assembly